Molecule: ribosomal RNA, 478 nt
Filed under: uncultured bacterium
Lineage: Bacteria
Description: partial 16S ribosomal RNA
Rfam family: Bacterial small subunit ribosomal RNA
Source: RNAcentral
GACGAACGCUGGCGGAGUGCUUAACACAUGCAAGUCGAACGGUAAGGCCCUUCGGGGUAAACGAGUGGCGAACGGGUGAGUAACACGUGGGUGAUCUGCCCUGCACCUCGGGAUAAGCCUGGGAAACUGGGUCUCAUACCGGAUAGGACCACUGCCUGCAUGGGUGGUGGUGGAAAGCUUUUGCGGUGUGGGAUGGGCCCGCGGCCUAUCAGCUUGUCGGUGGGGUGAUGGCCUACCAAGGCGACGACGGGUAGCCGGCCUGAGAGGGUGAUCGGCGACACUGGGACUGAGAUACGGGCCAGACUCCUACGGGAGGCGGCAGUGGGGAAGAUUUCACAAUGGGCGCAAGCCGGAUGCAGCGACGCCGCGUCGGGGAUGACGGCCUUCGGGUUGUAAACCUCUUUCAGCGCCGACGAAGCGGAAGUGACGGUAGGUGCAGAAGAAGGACCGGCCAACUACGUGCCAGCCGCCGCCGUAA